Molecule: ribosomal RNA, 253 nt
Filed under: uncultured bacterium
Lineage: Bacteria
Description: partial 16S ribosomal RNA
Rfam family: Bacterial small subunit ribosomal RNA
Source: RNAcentral
UACGUAGGUGGCAAGCGUUGUCCGGAAUUAUUGGGCGUAAAGCGCGCGCAGGCGGUCCUUUAAGUCUGAUGUGAAAUCCCACGGCUCAACCGUGGAAGGUCAUUGGAAACUGGGGGACUUGAGUACAGAAGAGGAAAGCGGAAUUCCAAGUGUAGCGGUGAAAUGCAUAGAGAUUUGGAGGAACACCAGUGGCGAAGGCGGCUUUCUGGUCUGUAACUGACGCUGAGGCGCGAAAGCGUGGGGAGCAAACAGG